GAGUUUGAUUAUGGCUCAGGAGGAACGCUGGCGGCGUGCCUAACACAUGCAAGUCGAGCGAGAAAUAGUCAGACGGAGAUUUCGGUUGAAGAAUGAUUAUGGAAAGCGGCGGACGGGUGAGUAACGCGUAGGCAACCUGCCUCAUGCAGAGGGAUAGCCUCGGGAAACCGGGAUUAAAACCUCAUAAGGCCAAGGGGACACAUGUUUUCGUGGUCAAAGAUUUAUCGGCAUGAGAUGGGCCUGCGUCUGNUUAGCUGGUUGGUGAGGUAACGGCUCACCAAGGCGACGAUCAGUAGCCGACCUGAGAGGGUAAACGGCCACAUUGGAACUGAGACACGGUCCAAACUCCUACGGGAGGCAGCAGUGGGGAAUAUUGCACAAUGGGCGAAAGCCUGAUGCAGCAACGCCGCGUGAGCGAAGAAGGCCUUUGGGUCGUAAAGCUCUGUCGAUAGGGAAGAAAAAGGUGACGUACCUAUCAAGAAGCCCCGG
This 489-nucleotide ribosomal RNA is filed under the name Peptostreptococcaceae bacterium canine oral taxon 125. RNAcentral's name for it is "bacterial SSU rRNA". It matches the Rfam family "Bacterial small subunit ribosomal RNA", at positions 9 to 496 of the family's 1533-position model. Lineage: Bacteria; Bacillati; Bacillota; Clostridia; Peptostreptococcales; Peptostreptococcaceae. The record is from RNAcentral.